AUUGAACGCUGGCGGCAGGCCUAACACAUGCAAGUCGAACGGUAGCAGGAAGUGCUUGCACUUUGCUGACGAGUGGCGGACGGGUGAGUAAUGCUUAGGGAUCUGCCUUCGGGAGGGGGAUAACAGUUGGAAACGACUGCUAAUACCGCAUAAUACCUACGGGUCAAAGGGGGGUUCGCCUCUCGCCUGAAGAUGAACCUAAGUGAGAUUAGCUAGUUGGUGAGGUAAAGGCUCACCAAGGCGACGAUCUCUAGCUGGUCUGAGAGGAUGACCAGCCACACUGGGACUGAGACACGGCCCAGACUCCUACGGGAGGCAGCAGUGGGGAAUAUUGGACAAUGGGGGCAACCCUGAUCCAGCCAUGCCGCGUGUGUGAAGAAGGCCUUCGGGUUGUAAAGCACUUUCAGACGUGAGGAAAGGUUAGUAGUUAAUACCUGCUAGCUGUGACGUUAGCGUCAG
Molecule: ribosomal RNA, 459 nt
Filed under: uncultured bacterium
Lineage: Bacteria
Description: bacterial SSU rRNA
Rfam family: Bacterial small subunit ribosomal RNA
Source: RNAcentral